Herpailurus yagouaroundi (jaguarundi) is the source of this 829-nucleotide long non-coding RNA. RefSeq lists it as uncharacterized. Lineage: Eukaryota; Metazoa; Chordata; Mammalia; Carnivora; Felidae. The record is from RefSeq and is a predicted model, not a curated record. The transcript has 4 exons.
AUUCGCCAGGCGCGCGUCCCCGCCUCCUGUCUGGGCCGCGGCUUCACGUAAUGGCGGAGAUGAGUUUCAUUUUAUACGGCAAGGGCGAUACUUCCGAAGGCAGUUACUGAAGCCUCCCGGUCCCUCCAAGCACGAGGAGACCUAGCAACGUUUCAGAACCGAAGGGUUACACCGUGUUCCUGUGUCUGAAGUUCUUCCUGCUGCUACCACCAAGCUACAACUAAGGAGUAAUAUAUUUCAUGGGUUCUCUAGCUUCAACACCUUUUCCAGAUCUGGGCCACAGCCUCACUCUUUAUGAAAAAGAGCAUUGCAAGAGUACCACCCAGGCCACUGAAAACGACAAUGGCUCACAAUAGAUGCCAGACAUUGUGAGUAUCCACAGAUGACAGUGUAACUCAACAAAUAAACUGGCAGAUUUGGACUACUGGGGAAAUGCAUCUUUCCAUUCCAGAAUGUCUUCUCAAGCAGCAAGAAUUGGGCCAGGGCUGUAAGACAGUGCUACCACACGGAGUCAGUGCUGUGCUCCGUGUCCUGUAAUAAGCAGCCGAGUGCCCAGCUGGUGUUCCUCUCGCACUCUGGGCUUAUCUCAACCAUGGACUUAACUCGUUGUACCACACCUUCUGGUCUGCCUCCUGCACUAAUGCCAUGUGAGUUCCCAAGGGCAGAAUGCAUCAUGCCUUACAACUCUGUAUCUCAGGUCCCAGCUCAGUGCUAACACCUGGUAGAUACUCCACAAAUGUUUGCAGACAGAAGAAUGCAAAGCAUGCUUAACUGUCCAAAUAGAAGGAAUAGCCGCUGUUUUCUAUAAUAUACUAUAAUUUCAUUGUCA